Acanthosepion pharaonis is the source of this 114-nucleotide non-coding RNA. The record is from the annotation of a GenBank genome assembly. NCBI's taxonomy places the organism in Eukaryota, Metazoa, Mollusca, Cephalopoda, Sepiida, Sepiidae.
UUACGGCGAUAUCACGUUGAAACACCGGUUCUCGUACGAUCACAGAAGUUAAGCAAAGUUGAGUUUGGCCAGUGCCUAGCUUGGUAACCGCUUGGAAAUAUCAGGUGCUGUAAG